RNAcentral lists this transfer RNA (65 nucleotides) under Stethoconus japonicus. RNAcentral's name for it is "tRNA-Met". Lineage: Eukaryota; Metazoa; Arthropoda; Insecta; Hemiptera; Miridae. The record is from RNAcentral.
AAAAAGAUAAGCUAAUAAUAAGCUAUUAGGUUCAUACCCUAAAUAUAGAGUAAUUCUUCUUUUUA